GGGGCCUCUGGAGGGGGGGGCAGGGCGUCAGGUGGGGGUGCUACCCGGGUUCGAGAAUGAUACCCUUUACAAGGAUGCGAGACUGAAACGUGGCUUAAAAACAAAAAGAGAAAUCUAUCCAUUUGGAAGGUAAUGUUGGCUCUGGCCAGCAGGGCCGCAUAGGGGGAAGCCGGCCUCCGAGGUGAACCAGCCGGGAGGAAAAGCGGAAAGUGCCUCAGGUGGGGGAUUUGUUAUCUUCACCAGAGAGGCCGGGACUCUGGAGCGAGGGGGCGGGGCCGGGGCGGGGCGGGGACUGAGGGACCGGGCGCUUCUUCGUCCUUCCCAAACCGCCGGGACAAUCCCUGGAGGCUCCUCCAGGUCAGUGUUUGGGGUUGGGAGUCACUGAGGAGGGAGGGAGCAAAGGAACUUCCGUGAUAACAGUUGGCCUGACUUUCCGGGGGUUCAGUGCGCAUGCCAGGGAGAGCGGGCGGUAUUUCCGCAGGGCACGGACACCCCCUCUGCCCCCUGACAGGCUCCCUUGGGCUGCUUCUCCCCUCGGGUGUUCUGACCAGAACCUCCCCUUUAGGAAAGAGCUGGGCCAGCCCCGCCCCCAUCCUGUGACUGAACCCCUCCCCCAGCUGCCUCCAGGUUCCCGUGGGCGUGCGGCCCUGGGGGUGGGGGCGGGGGGGAUCAAAGUCCUGCCCAGGCUGAAGACAACCGACCCGGCCAGACCGUGCUCUUCCGUGUUUGUCCCUUUUUCUGCGCUCCUUUAAAGUGAUGGAUAGACACGGAGGCACAGAAAGUACUUACAAGUGGCUCCUGCCCCGCCUUUCUCGGCGAACAUGCGCACAAGAGAAGCCCCGCCCCCCAGCUCAAUUUGGUGGAAUGGGUUACUGGGGUCUUUCCGCUGCCCAAAAGUUAAGGGGUAAAAAGUCUCAGCUGAUAAAGCAGGGAGCCAGGUUCGCACCUGAGCAUGGACACCCUCCCCUCCCCCUCUCACCCAGCAAAGGUCUUAAAAGCACAGGUGUGAGACUUCCAGGAGCUGACUGUCCACAGGACAUUCUCUGCAUCCCUUGAAGCUGCCCCAGUGGGGAGGAGCCAGACUAGGGAGACUUCAGAAAAGAGCAUUCUGGGAAAUGGAGUCUUCUAUGAAAAGGGAUAAGACCUGCAUGAUGUUCUGACAGGCAUUCUGGGAAAUAUAGUUCUCCUGCCUGGGUCCCUGGGUUAAGCCUCCUGGUGGGGGAGGGGUCAUAUAGGAAAUGUUCCCCAGCUGGGAGGCUGCAGCCUUCUCCCCUCCCCCCAGUUCCCCUCCAGCCCUGCCCUGUGGCUGCUUCUUUCCACUGGAGGCUGCCUCAGGCUAGAGCCUGGCACACAGCAGGUGCCUAAUAAGUGUCUAUUGACUGAUCAGGUAAUGGAUCCAUCCUCCCCCAGGACCUGAGGAGGGGUGCCAGGAUCCCCCUUCUGACAGAGAAGGAAACUGAGGCACAGGGCAGCAGCUGACCCUCCAGGCCCAGGCCCCCCCUCCUACAGCUUCCCCUCAUCCAGGGAUCUCUCUGAAAGUCCUGCUGCUCCUUCUGCCCCCAAAGAAGGGGCCAACCCUUUCCCCAGAGGAGGCAUCAGGUGACUCUGGGGCUGCCCUCCUGGGCCUGGAACCCCCAAGAUCUGGGCUCAAAUCUGGCCUCAGACACGGCCUGGCUGGGGGAGCCUGGCCAAGGCCCUUCCCAGCCUUUGCCUCAGUUUCCCCCAUGGUAAGAUUAGCCAAUAAGGGCCUGAGCGGAGGCUGUGGGGAAGCUGGUCCAGAGAGGGUCUGGGGGGAAACAGAGCUGCUUCCUCGGGGUCUCCUGGGCCUCUGGGCCAGCUGAGGAGGGUCUCCUUCAGCAUCACCCCAGCCCAGGGGCCCAGGAGACCCUUCAGAGGCCUGGGGGAGGCCCAGGAACCCCUCGUGCCCUGGAGGAGGCCACAGAAAGCAGCAGCCUCCGCUGAGCACAGGCUCAGAGCCCUGAUGGACAGAGGACAGUCUGGGGGUGUCUGUGUGUCUGUCUGCUGGGCUCAGGCUAUUCAGGCCUGUCUGAUUCUCUUCCCACCCCUGCCCCCCCUUUGGGGCUUUCUGGGCAGAGGCUGGGUGGCUUCACCAUGUCCUUCUGUAGCCAAUUUGACAGGGGAGGAAACUGAGGCAAGCAGUCCAAAGUGACUUGUGCAGGGUCCCUCAGUAAGUAAUCUCAGGCCUCCCUGACUCCAGGCCCUGAGCUCUGGCAGGCUCCAGCUUCCUGGGCUGGGGAGGAAGGAGGGGGCUCAGAGCAAGGACUGACCCUCCCAUCCUCAGGGACUGCAGCAGAGCAGGAGGGGGUCUGGGGCCUUGUCGGCUCCCUGGGAGAAGAAAGGGGGCAUCUGGGAGGAAGAGGAAGGUAAGAUAAUGGGUCCAUGAAGGGAUGCAGACACAGGGAGGUGCAGGAGAGAAGCAGACUGGGCCAAGGCGUCUCUGAGCAACGUCUGCCUCCAUUGGGUGGUCAGGAAAGGAGGCCGAAGUCUGCAGAGGCCCCCCUUGGCUCUGAGGCCCCGUCAUGGGCCCUGGCAGGUUUUUAGAGGCCCUGAGAGGAGAUUGGGGGGACUCCAGGGCACUCUCUUGAGGGGAGGAAUAGGAGCUUCUGGAUCAGGACUGCUCUGAACUCUACUGAUCCGGCUUCUUUAUGGGUCAGUCUUGACCUCGUCCAUCCCCCUGAGGACCCCCCUGUUCCCCCUGAUUUUUGAGGGGACUCUCUGGCCUCUGCAGCCUCUUCCAGGGAUGAGGGUGACAGAAAGAGCAGGAUAAAUGGGUUCACAGCCUCAGGAGAGCCUCUCAGGGAACAGGCUGGGUCCAGGCUCUUCCCUGCUUCAUGCACAGCCUCGUGUCGGGGUCUUGAUUCCUCCUGCGAACCCCACAGCCGCCCAGUGAAGAAGUUCAGCCUCUCCAAAAACUCCUGCAUGAAUUCCGUCACCCAGGAGGGAAGCCAAAGCCUGGAAAGCAAUGUGGAAGGAGUUUGAGGAUGAGGGAAGGAGACACACAGAAAUUACAGAGGGGAGACCCAGAAGUCUGCAGGGGUGUCUGCCAGCACGUCCCUGAGGAGUUCAUUCUACCUUUCUAGCAUCGGGGGGCUUUGGGGGAUCCCUGGAACCAAGGAAGCAGCAGAGGCUUUUAGGGGGAGCCUUGCAGGUCCAAGAGGAGCUUUGGACAGCCCACCUGCCGCCGCAGCGUCAUUUCUCUGAAAGUACAAUUUCUAUGGCCGAAGCAAUGGAAAGAUUGGAAUUCAUCAGCGCUGUGAAACGUUGGCUGCGGGUCCAGAGAAGCCUGAUCCAGGCACACUUUGCUCAGGAGAACCAGCUUAUGAAUAUGUCACCCUGUGCUCUGGGGGACCCCCAAAUGGGUGUUUAUUUGGCACCCCAAGUUUGCCCUUUGGGGCCCCAAGAGUUUGCCUCUGGGGGGGUCCCAGAUUCUGCCAGCCUCAGACUGAACAAUAAAGUCAUCGAUAACGCUGGCUUAGGUGGAGCUGGCAGGCCUAAGCAUCCGCUCAGUGCCUUCUGUCCCAGGAGUUUCUCCUACGGCGACCAAGGCCUUGCCCUCAUCUGGACGGUUCCCUUUUAGAGUCCUCUGGAAGUAGAGCCCUGCCCGUCCCGCGGCCUCUGGCUCUGGUUCCCUCCCCCAGCCCCGGUUACACCUGCCGGGGCCCUUUGAACACCCCCAUUUCCUCGUGGCCCUGGAAUGUCCGUCAGCCCUCUUUCCCUGCCCCUCAGUUCCCCCAAUGCUUUGGUGCUUUGGACUUGCCCAUCUAGCAUGGUCGGCGCUCCCGGGCCAGAUCUCAGGGCCCGUGUGGAGGCCUUGAGGAAAGCACUGACUGUUUUAUAGUUCUGUGUUUUACAGUUCAACAAAUACAUCUUCAUUAUAAUGGAAACCCUU
Long non-coding RNA from Monodelphis domestica (gray short-tailed opossum), 3910 nucleotides. RefSeq lists it as uncharacterized. The record is from RefSeq and is a predicted model, not a curated record. Lineage: Eukaryota; Metazoa; Chordata; Mammalia; Didelphimorphia; Didelphidae.